Molecule: ribosomal RNA, 1034 nt
Filed under: unidentified nematode
Lineage: Eukaryota; Metazoa; Nematoda
Description: partial 28S ribosomal RNA
Rfam family: Eukaryotic large subunit ribosomal RNA
Source: RNAcentral
GGCUUCUCUUAGUAACGGCGAGUGAAAAGAGAAAAGUCCAUCGCUGAAUCCGAAUAAUUAUUUGAAUGAUUAUAAGGAAAUGUAGCGUAUAAGUGUAUUGUUGUUUUUUAUGUAUGUAUUUUUAAGACUCAAAGUUUCCUUGAAUGGAGCAAAUAUCCAAAGAAGGUGCAAGACCUGUACGAGUGUUAAUAUAAAUGCAUACAUAACAAUGACUUGUUGUUGUUGUUGACAAACAUACACUGUAGAGUCGGGUUGCUUGGUAUUGUAGCCUAAAGUUGAUGGUAAACCUCAUCUAAGACUAAAUAUGUCCAUGAAACCGAUAGCGAACAAGUACCGUGAGGGAAAGUUGCAAAGAACUUUGAAGAGAGAGUUCAAGAGGGCGUGAAACCGCUAAAAGGGAAGCGGAUAGAAUUAACAAAACAUAACGUCAUUCAAUCAGUUAAUAUAUUUGUUGUCAAAGUAUAAUUAAUAAUAAUUUAUGUAAUUUUUAUAUUGUUAUUAUACUUGCAACGACUGGUGUAUUUGACGUUUGUAUGCGCUGGGAGUUUCGUUGUUGUGCGUAUGUGUAUUGCAGUUUUUAGUGAUUUAUAUGUAUGAUAAUACUUUAUGAAAAUAAAGUAACAUGUAAAAUCUAACUGCAAAAAUAUAACAGUAUUUUGUAUCAACAAUGAAAUAAAAUAUUAAUUCCAGUGUAAACGUUGAUCACCUAUCCGACCCGUCUUGAAACACGGACCAAGGAGUCUAGCAUAUACGCAAGUCAUUGGGUGAAUUAAAACCUAUAGGCGGAAUGAAAGUAAAAAUUUAUAAUGGGAUCCUUAAAUUGGAAUAAAUUCUUAAAUAAAGGCGUACCAUUAUCCCGUACGAUAGAAUUUUUUUGUAAAAAAAAAUUAGUACGGAGAAUGAGCGUAUACGCUAGGACCCGAAAGAUGGUGAACUAUGCCUGAGCAGGAUGAAGCCAGAGGAAACUCUGGUGGAAGUCCGAAACGGUUCUGACGUGCAAAUCGAUCGUCGACUUGGGUAUAGGGGCGAAAGAC